AUUCUUCCCAAUUUUCCCAGUAACCCGUCUGUCCUCCAGAUUAACAAACAAGUUCAGAGGAUCAGUGCCUUGCUCAGUCCACACCUCGGGUUGUGGCUGGUGAGCCAGGGCCGGGGGCUUCCACAUUUCCACUGUAUUUGCCACAUCAACACAAAGUCUCACCAAAUUCAGAAUAACUAAUCUCUGCAAAGGUCUAGCCUGGCGCAGUUUCCUCCCCUUGCAGACGAUUCCAGGCUCCAGGCCUACCCCCCUAACAGAUCCGGGAUGACGAGAACCCCUGGGGUCCACCAGCCAACCCAAGCUACACGCCUACCACGCCCAUUCUAUUCCACUUAGAGGAAAAGGAGAGCGGUUCAAAGGUUUAAAGCAUUUAUUGUGCUCCCGCAAAGGCUGACGGGAUGGAAGGAGGCGCGGGGCCGUCACGCGCCCCGAGCGACUGUUUGCCUCGCACCCAAAGGCGGGGGGCGGUGGGGGGAGGGAGGGGCUGGUGAGCUGGAAAGGACGGCGAGGAGGCCCUGGCUCCGGCUGUGACCGGCUGGUACGGCCUCCGCCAUUGGCGUACAGGAGCUGGUAACCAUGGCAGCAGCUGUCGCCAAAGGCAAGAGCCAAUGGGGGCGUUGCCCGGGCCAUUUCAAAAAUGUAAAGCAAACGACAACAAAAAAACGCUACAACGGCGGGGGAUGGGAGGGAUGAAAAGGGGAUGGACCGGCUGGAGCCACUCCCUGCGGCUCAGAACAGGCGUCGCGUCCCUGGCCAGGUUAAACGCACAACACCUCCAGACGGUUGGAGUAGAAAAACCGAACCGCGGAGAGACCCAGCUCGCUGGCGGCCCUUGGGAACUUUGCGGACGCUACACUUGGCUGCCUUCAAAACCUUCUUGCCCUCCAAAGCCUUUGAGGAAACUGUUAGUGAUAAUCACAUGGACCUGGAAGAAACUGCUAGUUUUUCGUCGCGGUUCCUUCGAGAAUGGCUGGAGCCCUUUCGUGACCCACAGAAUUUCCGUCAGUGGCCCAACUGCGGGUCUAUGCCUGAGCUGGGUCUCCACAGCCGCUAGCUGAAGGAAGGUGGUGGUUUUGGGCGGGGGGUUGACUGGGGCGAGAGGUUUCGCGGAGGGUGGUGGGUGGCAGAAUUCCUGGAAGGCACGGGGAGAGGCAGGGCCGCCUGGGCUGUGGCCCCAAGGCAUGGACCUCCUCUGCCCACGUACGUCUAGGGGAGGCACCGGUCCCAGGGUCAAGAGACUUUCGGUUGACUCAGCCAUCACUUGGAGCACGACUGGGGAUCUUCGUCGCCCCGCCUCACCGGAUUUCACCCUUCUCGCCGCCCAUCUGACCCCAUGCCCACCCACUGCGGUCCCGAUUGCGGUCCACAGAGGUGCUCCGGCGUGCGCGCCUCUCGCCAACCGGUAAGGCUGCCACUAGGGUGGUGGCUAUGGUGGCAGCUGGGGCAGCGGCGCAGGUUAUUGCGGCAGUGGCGGCAGCUACCUAGAGAUGUGGGACCUCGGGACCUAAGAAGAGGAAGGCAGACACGCUCUGCCCAUCUGUCCCGCGUCUCCCAGCCGUCCUCCUCUCCCCUCCCCGACUCCAGGAGCCCAACUCCGGGAAGUUGAAGCCGGGCUACCAACUGCUCAUGCGCGGGCUAGAGCGCCUCUGGCCUAACAAAGGCCACCGUAGUUGCUAAGCAACGUGGCCGCAGAGUUCUGAGGGAGCCGGAGCGCCUUCUGGUGGUGCAGAGGAGCAGGCACAGGCUGUUUCUGCUGCCUUAGAGAGGAGCUGUGGCCUAUGUUUUCCAGGGGAUCCUGCAGAAGGGAGGGAGGGAAGGAAGAAAGCGUGGUGUGAAGCAAGCCAUCUUCAGUCUGUGUCAAAAUGACCUUGCAACCCCACAUUGCAUGACCGAAGACGCUAGCCGGACAGGUCCUCAAUAGGAAAAGGUAAAGCAGUACCUCGCUUUCACAUUUCACAGUUGCGUUUAUUAGAGAUUAGGGGCAUAAUUUAACGAUGUGCCACGGUCCUUGCCUCCCUCCGCACAUGGAUAACAUCAGGGUCUCUGAACUUGUUUGAUAUAUAACCAAGAAAUUCUUGCUUCUGUUACAUUCAAUGUACAUAAUCUAGAGAAGAGCCCAGCUGUACUCUAUCCCUUUUUUUUAUAACCUACUUGUAAGUUUUUCUUUUUUCCUCUUCCCUUCAUGUCCAGUGUUUUGUGAAACAGAUAGAAAGUAGACUUAAAUUCACACACCUCAGAGCGGUUCCAUCAGAGCAGUCUGUUGAACUGUUUUCCAGGGGGUCAAACACCUCACGCUAAUCGUGGAAUAAGCUCCUUCACUAAUAUAACUUAGACUGUUCAUUUCAGUCGACAAAAGUAAAAAGGAAGGAAAGGAAGGUGGAUAGACGAAUGGGUGGUUAAAGGUCCCAAGAGUGGAGGAUGGCCUGGCAGGGGCCUGGCUGACUCAGCAGGAUCAGGAGACUAUCGGCGGUCAGACUUCCUCAAGUUGGCCUUGACGGUGUGCCUGGGACUGUCCGAAGAGGGGUCUGUCCAGUGGCCCCAAGAAGUGACUGCCUGUGUCCUUCUGGGUGGCUUUGUUCACUCAGGGGCUUCAGCAACUGGAGCCAUAAGCCGAGCCCGUGGAGCUGCCUGUCUGGGUGGGCACUGGGAAUGGGCACCCUGCUGUCUCCAUUCCUCCCGGUCACCUUGUGGCUGUGUUCCUGUGUUUCACUGCGUGGCUGAGUGUGAAUUAUUUUUCCUCCUUGAAGUCUCUCCUGGGCUUUCCUAAGGUGCGUCUGGCUUGGUAAUGGCUUCAGACUAGCAGUUGUAGGACGCCCAUGUCCGUCCAGAGAGGCACCUUUUCAAACAGAACACAAAAGACCUUAUCAGGAAUUGAUUUUACACUUGGAGGAAAAAUGCCAAAAGAAGUCAGAGAACGUGGUGAUAACUCCAACGCCCAAAGUAUCACACCUUCCCCCAAUGCUUCAAUCUUCUCUAACGCUGGUAACAUGAUCCAGAAGAAAGUGGAUUUGGGACGUCGGGACUGACUCCACUACAGAGUUGAUGGCCAACUCGCCCCAGACGCAAUGCCAGUUGAGCUGUCUGUUUUGGCCUACCAGCACUUCAUCUUCUGGCUUCCACUCUUUUCCCUGGGAAGUCCGACGCUGGGGGCUGGGUGCGGUGUUGGCCUCGCGGGGGUGGGAGUUCUUCGGUACCGGGGUUUUUCCUCGGAAACCCCUUACUCUCUCUCUCUGUCCUUUUUUUUUUUUCUUUGGCUUUGUCGACCCUGUCUCCAACCUUCUCAGACUUUGGGUGGGCACUCUGCAUGUUUCCUCUUGGGUCCUGGAUAGGAUAUUCUCCAUCGUGACCCCUCUGGGGGUUCUUCUUGCGGUGCAAAGCCUGGCUGGGGUCAUCGUGGUCAGUCUGGGGAUCUCCAGAGUCUGCCUCAGAAACACUCUCUGCAUCUUGUCUUGCCACCUCCCAAGGCCGCAGGUGUGCGAUGCGAUCUUUCUGUCCCCUGUGCUUGCCUUGGCUCUUCACUCUCUCGCGUGAUCCAGUGCUCCUCCGCUUGGCUGCACUCGUUCGGUCCCCGUGGGUUCACGUUUCCUUCCGCGGCGCCUCUCCUGUUCCUCAACCCUUCUGCUCAGCUCGUGGCUUUUGUUCUGCUUAAGUCACGGACACCCCUCUUUUCCGGUUCCUUGGUUGGCUUGGUUUGGUUUUUCAAUUCAGAAGAGAGACUGACCCUUCCCUAUCAAGACCGAGCACUUCCCUUCCUAGUCUCGCCCCGGCGCCUUUCCCGGACGCUCGUCCCUCCCCCUGCACCCCCUCCAGCAGCCUGUCUCUCGGCAUCAUUCACGUUCAGGGACAACGCGCCGCUUUUCCCUCGGGGAUCCGACGACUUCCGGUGGCCGUGCCCAGAGGUGGGGUGCUGCCCUUGCCGCCUCUUGGAACACGACGGGAGGGGCCCGAGCCCCCGAAAGGCCUGGAGAAGACCCUUCCUGACCAUCACACGAGCCUAGAAGAGACUGCUUCUUCUCCAAAGGGGAUCCUCUGAGGGCGGCUAGAGCCCUUUCAGGGUGAUCCCCACCGUGGAGGGGACAGAGGCCUGACAGGAGAAUGCCCGUCUGUGGCCCAAGCAGCCACCGAGGGUCUGUGCCUGGGCCGGGUCUCCACGGCCAGCUCCUCGACGGCCAUGCCCAGGUACCACCUGAGGGCAGGUGGUGGUUUUCGGGUGGGGUGAAAGGUGGGGAGGGGAGAUGCUUUCGACACCUUCCUGGAAGACCCUGGGAGAGGCAGGGCCCGCUGGGCUGUGGCCCCAAGGCAUGGGCCUCCUCUGCCCACGUCUAGGGGAGGCUCCGCUCCCAGAGUCAGUAGAUUUGCAGUUGAUCCGACCAUCACUUGGAGCGGGACGUGGGGACAUUCAUGGCCCCCGCCUCAGCAGAUUUCAUCUCUCGCACCCCAAUCCCACCCCAUUGCCCCCCACUGCCGUCCAGAUUCGGGUCCACAGAGCGGCCCGUCAUGCCCGGGUCUCACUCUAGUAAGACUGCCACCAGGGUGGCGGUCAUGGUGGCAGUUGGGGCUGAGGGUGUGGCAGCAGGGGCAGCAGUGGAUUUUAUGGUGACAGUGGAGGCAGCCACUCAGAGAUCUGGGAUCUCCGGGACCUUAGGAGGGAAAGGUGGAGGCACCCUGCAAGCCUGCCCUCCUCUCCCUUCCUUCCUCCUCUCCCCACCCCUGUCUACCCACUCAGGGAGCCCAGCCUCCUGCUGCUGAAGCCGGCCAAUCAACUGCGCAUACGCGGGCUCUCUGGAGCCUCGCAACGCCCGCUCCCUUUGCUAAGGAACUUGACCGCGAGGCUCUCAGGGAGCGGGCGCGCCCUCUGGCGGUACCUAGGCGCAAGCACAAGCUGUGACCGGUGAUUUCCUGAGGCGGCUGUGGCCCAUGUUUUCCAGUGGGUCCUUCAGACGCUUGGAUGACAGGAAGGAACAAGGAAGGACGGAGGGAGGUAAGAAGGAGGGAAAGAAGGAAGUUAGGAAGGUAAAAAAGAAGGAAGGGAGGUAGGAAGUUAGGUCAUAAGGGAGAAAAGAAAGAUGAAUAGAAGGAUGAAUGGGUGGUUGGGGCUCCCAAGAGUGGGGCAAAGCCGUUCAGGGGCCUGGCUGAGAAAGCAGCAUCCGGAGCCAGGCGGUGGGAUCCCUUCCUCAAGUCAGCCUGGAGGCUGUGCCUGGAACUGUCUGCCACACCCUCCAAGGGGUCUGCCCUGUGAGCCCAAGAGGGGACUGCCUGUGCGCUUCUGGGUGGCUUUGCUGGCUCAGGGACUUUGGCACCUGGAGCCACAGGCCGAGCCCAGGGAGUCACCAGUCCCCGUGGAGGGACGAGGCUUGCCCUCUGGGCCUGGGCACCCUGCCGUCCCCAUUCCUCACAGUCCCCUCGUGGCUGCGUUGCUGUCUUUCUGCUGUGUGACUGAGUGUGACUUGUUUUUCCUUCCUCCUUGAAGUCUCUCCUGGAUUUUCUUAAGGUGUGCCUGGCUUGACAAUUUCUUCUCACCGGCUGUUGUAGGAAGCCUCUCUCCAUCCUGAGACACACCUUUCCAAACACAAGAUCACGAGAAGACUCGAUCAGGAACUCAUUUGACACUUGGAGGAAAAAUGGCCAAAGAGCUCAGAGAAGGUGCUCAGGCCUCUAACAGGACCACCCUUCCACCCCCCUGCCCCCAGUGCUCAUGAUCAAGAAGAGGAGAGUUGUUUGGGAGAACAGGACCGACUCCACUGCAGACUUUAUGGCCAACUCGCCACUGACUCAUUGCCAGUUGAGCGGUGUAUUUUGGCAUACCAGCACUUCAUCUUCUGGCUUCCACUCUUUUUCCUGGGGAGUCCAACCCCGGGAGCCGGGGGCAUGGUUGGCCAAGGGGGGGGUGGUGUUCUUCGGGACCAGGGUUUUUCCUUGGAAAGCCCUCUUUCUUUGUCUUUUUUUUUCUUUUACUUUGUUGGCCCUGUCUUCAGCUUACUCAGACCUUGGGUGGGUGCUCUACACACUUCCUCUUGAGGUCCUGGAUAGAAUAUUCUUUUCUUUUUUUUUUUUUCAAGAUUUUAUUUUUCCUUUCUCUCCCCAAAGCCCCCGGGUACAUAGUUGUAUAUCUUAGUUGCAGGUCCUUCUAGUUGUGGCAUGUGGGAUGCCGCCUCAGCAUGGCUUGAUGAGUGGUGCCAUGUCCGCGCCCAGGAUCUGAACCAGGAAACCCUGGGCCACCUAAGUGGAGCGGGCGAACUUAACCACUUGGCCAGGGGGCUGUCCCCCAGGAUAGGAUUUUCUUGACCGUGACCCCUCUUGGGGUUCUUCUUGUGGUCCAAAACAUGGCUGGGCUCAUGGUCAGUCUAGGAAUCUCCAAGUAUUGCCUUGGAAACACACUCUCUCCAUCUUGUCUUGCUGCAUCCCAAUGCUACAAGAAUCCGUUGCGAUCUUUCUGUCCUUUGUGCUUGUGUUGGCUCUUCACUCUUUCCCAUGGUCCUGUGCUCCUCGCUUGGCUGCCCACGUUCUAUCCCUGUGGGUUCACUUUUCCUUCAGCGAUGUCUCUCCUGUUCUUCAACCCUUCCGCCCAGACUGUGGCUUCCAUUCUUCUUAAGUCACGGCUCUACCUCUUCUCCAUUUCCUUUAUUCGUUUGGUUUGGUUUUUAAACUCUGUAGAGAGACUCUCUUCUCUUUCUGGACUGAGCAUUUCCCUUCUGUGACUUAAUCACUUGUGUCUUUUGUGGAUGCUGGUAUCUCCCAUGUUCCUUUCCAUGAACCUAUCUUUUGGCACAAUUCACAUCAAGGAAAAUGCACCACUUUUCCCUUUGGGUUCUGAUGCCUUCUGGCUGGCGUCCCCAGAGGUGGGGUGCUGCCAUCACCAGAACUUGGAACACGAUGGGAGGGGCCUGAGCCUGGAAAGCACUUCAGAAAUCUCUUACUGACAAUCACACGGGCCUAGAAGAAACUGCUCCUUCUUCAGCGUGGUUCCAUUGAGAAUGCCUAGAGCCCUUUUAGGAUUAUCCCCACUGUGGAGGUGACAAAGGCCUGACACAGAGAAGUUCCUCAGCGGGCUAAGUGCCCAGCAACAGUCUAUGCCUUGGCUGGGUCUCCAUGUCCAGGUCCUCGACAAUCACGCCCAGGUACUAUCUGAGGGAAGGUAAUGGUUUUCAGGUGGGGCGAAAGGCGGUGGGGGUAGGGGAAAUGGUGUGUUCAACACAUUCCUGGUAGGCACUGGGAGAGGCAGGGACUCCUGGGCUGUCACACCAGGGCAUGGGCCUCCUCUGCCCACGUGUAGGGGAGGCAUUGGUCCCAGGGUCAGUAGAUUUGCAGUUGACCCGACCAUACUUGGAGUGAGACUUGGGGCAUCUUCAUGGCCCCUGCCUCACCGGAUUUCGUGAAAUCCCUCCUGCCCGUUAUCUGACCCCAUUUCCACCCACAGCGGUCCAGAUUCAGGUCCACAAAGGGGUCCGGUGUGCCCGUGUCUCACCACCCAGUAAGGAUGCCACCAGGUGGGCUGGCUGGCAGUGAUGGUGGCAAUUGGGGUGGAAGCUAGGGUGGCAGGGGGCAGUGGUUGAGAUUAUGGUGGUGGUAGAGGCAGCCACCCAGUCAUCUGGGAUCUCUGGAACCUGAAGAGAUGAAGGUGGAGGUACCCUCCCCACCUGCCCCCCUCUCCUGUCCUUCCUUCUCUCCCCUACCAUUGCCCACUCCCUCUGGGAGCCCAGCUUCCUACUGUUGAAGCCGGCCAAUCACCAGCCAUGACUACCCACAUUGCUAAGCAAUGUGACUAGGAGGCUCCUAGCGAGCUGGUUCGCCCUCUUGUGUGGCAAGGCGCAAGCACAGGCUGUGGCUGGUGCUUUCCUGAGGUUGCUGUGGCCCCAUGUUUUCCAGUGGUUCAUUCAGACAUUUGGAUGGAGAGAAGGAAAGAAGGAAGUCAGUAAGGAAGGAAUAAAGGAAGGAGGAUAGGAAGGUAAAAAAAGAAGGAAGGAAGUUAGGUAAAACAAAGAAAAGAAACGUAGACAGAAAGAUGAAUGGGUGGUUGGGGAUCCCAAGAGUCGGGGAAGGCUGGGCAGGGGCCUGGCUGAGAAAGCAGCAUCCGGAGCCAGGUGGUGGGAUCUCUUCCUCAAGUUGGCCCAGAGGCUGUGCCUGGGACUGACUGCCACACCCUCCAAGGGGUCUGCCCUGUGAGCCCAAGAGGGGACUGCCUGUGCACUUCUGGAUGGCUUUGCUGGCUCAGGGGCUUCAGCACCUGGAACCACAGGCCGAGCCCAGGGAGCCGCCUGUCCCAGUGGAGGGAUGAGGCUUGCCCGCUGGGCCUGGGCACCCUGCCGUCCUCAUUCCUCCCAGUGACCUUGUGACUGUGUUGCUGUAUUUUGCUGCAUGGCUGUGAAUUUUUGUUUUCUUCCGUGAAGUCUCUCCUGGGUUUUCUUAAGGUGUUCCCAGCUUGGACCAGCAGUUGCAGGAAGCCCUUCUCCAUCCUGAGAGACAUUUUUCCAAAUUCAAUAACACAAGGCCUUAUUUUAGACUUAGAGGAAAAAUGCGGAAAGAGAUCAGAGAAGGUGCUUAUGACUCUAAUGCCCCCCCUCCUCACCCUCUGUGCUAGAAUAUGACCUAACCCUAGGGCCAUUAUCAAGAGGGGGAGAGUGGCUUGGGGACGGCAGAAUCAACUCAACUGCAGAAUUUGUGGCCAGUUCACCACUGCCCCACUGCCAGCUGAGCUGUCUGUUUUGGCCUCCCAUCACUUCAUCUGGCUUCUGCUGUUAUGACUGGGAAGUUGGUCCCCCAGGUGUGGUGGGAACAAAAGUUAUUCCUUGGAAGAUGUUCUUUCUCCCUGUCUCUCUUUCUGUGUUUUCUUAUUUUUCUUUUUUGCCUUGUCUGCAAGCUUCUCAGACCUUGGGUUGGCUCUUGUGGCCCUGGAUGGGAUAUUGUUUUGUUUUGUUUUGUUUUUUGUCUUUUGUGGGUGUUUUUGAGGAAGAUUAGCCCUGAGCUAACAUCUGCUGCCAAUCUUCCUCUUUUUGCUGAGGAAGACUGCCCCUCAGCUAACAUCCGUGCUCAUCUUCCUCUACUUUAUAUGUGGGACACCUGCCACAGCAUGGCUUGACAAGCGGUAUGUAGGUUCACACCCAGGAUCCAAACCAGCAAACCCCAGGCCACCCAAGCAGAAUGCACGAACUUAAGCACUGCACCACCGGGCAGGCUCCUGGAUAGGAUAUUCUUGAUCAUGACCCCUCUGGGGGUCUUCUUGCAGUCCACAGCAUGGCUUGGGGUCAUGGUCAGUCUGGGAAUCUCCAAAUACUGUCUCAGAAACACACUCUCUCCAUCUUUUUUUGCUAUAUCCCAAUCCUCCAGGUGUCCGACGUGAUCUUUCUCUUCUCCGUGCUUGUGCUGUCUCUUCAGUAUUUUCCAUGAUCCUGUGCUCCUAUGCUAGGGUGUAUGCAUUCUAUCCCAGUGGAUUCAGUUUUCUUUCAGCUGUGCCUCACCUGUGUAUUGCCUAGUCUCUUCAAAACUCAUUGUCAUGGACUAAAGAGGUGUGUAGCUUGGAGGGCUGAGGAGAGGUAUUGGCAUGCUUUUAAUAAUAUAAGUGGUCCCAGAUGGAGGAUUUGAGAAACAAGAAGGAAUGAUGAACAAAGAAAAUGCUAAAAUGUGUGUAAGUAGAAAACAGUAUUGACAGUGGAACAAAAUAGCAGAAAUGACUGACAGCAUUUAAAAAGACAAUGAAAGGGCCGGUCUGGUGGUGUAGUAGUUAAGUUCGUACUCCACAUCAGCAGCCCAGGGUUCCCAGCUUCAGAUCCCAGGCACAGAUCUACAUGCCACUCAUCAAGCCAUGUUGUGGCGGCAAAAUAGAGGAAGACAGGCACAUACAAAAUAGAAGAUGAUUGACACAGAUGUUAGUUCAGCAACAAUCUUCCUCAAGCAAAAAGGGGAAGAUUGGCAACAGAUGUUAGCUUAGGGCCAAUCUUCCUCACUAAAAAAAUGUAUAUAUAUAUAUAUAUAUAUAUAUAUAUAUAUAUAGACAGUGAAAAUACUGGAAAACAGUGGCAUAUAAUUCAAGAGAUUGGUGUGGGUUUGAUUUAAAUUAUUUCAAGUCCCUUUAUUGUUACAGAUAGGCCUAAUGUUUUGAGAUUCAGAUUUAGUAAGCUGUAAGAGACCUGAAAUAAUUGUUCCUUAAAACAAGAUAAAAACUUGGGCCAGCCCCAAGGCCAAGUGGUUAAGUUUGUGUGCUCUUCUUCGGCCCCCAGGGUUCACCAGCCCAGGUCCUAGGCAUGAACCUACACACCAUUCAUCAAGACAUGCAGUGCUGGCAUCCCACACAGAAGAACUAGAAUGACUUACAACUAGGAUAUAAACUAUGUGCUGGGGCUUUGGGGAGAAAAAAAAAAAGAGGAAGAUUGGCAACAGUUGUUAGCUCAAGGUCAAUAUUCCUCACCAAAAAGUAUACCUUUAAAAAAAAUAAGGUAACUGAUUUUUCUAUCCUCACAUUUAGUAGUCUGCAGUUAGGUAGUACAGGACUGGUGUAGAUCUUCUUUCUUGUUUUCCAUCACCCUGAGGAUGGUGACCUUAUUCACCCAGCCCAAGAUGGCACACCAUCACAUUCACAUCCCAAGGAGCCAAGUGGAGGAGGGGGCAAAGAGGCACAUCAGUUUACUUUAAGAACAGGAAUCUGAGGUUGCACACAGUACCUUCUGUCACGUGCUCCUGGCUAGCACUUACUAACGUGGACAGACGUAGCUGCAGAGCUAGCUGGGAAAUUACCAAGAGUUAUGACAUCCAGCACUGGUGAUGAAGCAAGUAAAUGAAUAUUGAACCAUUGCUUUUGAGGAAAUAUUAUAAUGACAUUUAGAACUUAAACUUUGAAUACCUGUUUAAAAAUCUAGGGCUUCUGUUUUCAGCUCUGACAUUUCAGGAGCUUAGAAGCCAUCGCUUCUGUCCUUACAACAAGAGAAAAAACUGAACAAACUGAAAAUGAAUGACUUUUCUUAAACCUAUCAGAGAAUUGAGGUCACAGGGAAAGCCGCCACCCUGAAUUGUGGAGAGAUGGAAAAAUGUGGGUGAUAACAACCAAGAUCAGUUUACUUGGAGCAAAAGCCACUGGAGCCAUAAACUGUUAGGAUCACUUAAAUGAUAAUUUUGAUGAAUUGCUGAAGGAAACCAUGUAAGCAAGAAGACAGUGGAGUGAAAUAUUUAAAGUGUUGGGGGAAAAGACUAGAAUUCUACAUCCAGUGAAAUCACCCCUCAAAAUGAAGGAGAAAUAAAACCUUUCUCAGAGAAACAAAAAUGGAAAGAAUUUGUUGCCAGGAGGUCUGUCUUGCGAGAAAUGUUAAGAGAAGUUCUUUUGAGAGAAGGAAAAUGGUAUAGGUCAGAAGCGAAAGGAAGGAAGAUUGUCAGAGCAGGAAUAAAUGAAGGUGGCCCAGGGUUUCGUCAUCGGUUCAAAUCCUGGGUGUGGACAUGGCACUCAUCGAGCCAUGUUGAAGCAGUGUCCCACAUACCACAACUAGAAGGACCCACAACUAAGAAUACACAACUAUGUACCUGGGGGCUUUGGGGAGAAAAAGGAAAAAAAUAAAAUCUUUUUUUUUUUUAAAGUAGUGCUUCUCAAACUGUGGUGAAAGACAAUUUUUUUUCUUUCCUUUAUAAAAAUUUGCAAUCUGUUUUGAACCAAGACUUUUUGGAAAAUAUAUAAACACAAAUUGCUUGAAAAAUAAGAAAAAGACAUACAAGACACAAGCCCCAUUUUAUUUUUAGUUUCAACAGACAUAAAAUUAGAUUUUCAUAAAUAUAACCAGAAGAAGCAUAACAGAGAAAAAAAUAAUAUAAAAAACUGUUCACAUUGUUCGUUAACAAGUGCAUAGGGGUGAAUGAUAUACAGAAUUACUAUUACACUAUUACUAUUAACUUUUUAUCCAUAAUCAUAACCAAACAAAAUAUAAGGGAAAUAAUUCUCCAUACUAUGUCUAUACACACAGUCUGAAUGAACGUCAUGUAUAACAUUUUUCAAAGUUUCAGUGACAAAUGAGCUAUUUAAGUUGUGGAGUAGGAACUCUCUCCUGUGCUAUCCAACCCCCACCCGUCACCCUCACCUUUGUCCACAGGCCCCAGCAUCUACCCUCUUUCUUUUUCCCUGGUAAGAAAUGCUCCAUUUAAAGUAUUGCCAGCCUCUGCCCCUCCAGGAAGUCUUACUUUGGCCCUUCCUCACAGGUUUUGCCAGGGGUUCCUCGCAGGAGUGAUUUUUGUUCCUGAGGCCUUGUCCUUUUACUUCCCUCCAAAGAAUCUGAUUUGCAGCUCCAAAUUUACUCUUCAAUACCUGCUCUGUGAAAAUGGACUGGAUUCUUCAAGCCUUUCCUCUUUACAGUGAGUAUGAUGUGAAACGUUGUCAGUAGAGGGCGCUGGAGGAGGAAGGGGCUUCUCUUCCUGGUUCUGGCUGCUGCAUUUUGCUUUUUCUUGCUCUUGCUUUGUGGUCCAUGGGGUGUGUGUAUGUGAAAACAUUCAAUGAUGCUCAGCACCAGCUGUGCUCCAGAGCAUGCAGUCUCUCGGAGAUCUUGCCAAUCUGGCCUGGGCUCAGUGACCACCUUGCUGAGGCCCUCCUGAUGAGACACUCACACACAUAGUGGAAUCGCAACUCUCUCUGUAUACCUGCCCAUCAGCUUUGGCUUGCAUGUGCCAUGGAAGGCUAUUUCCUGCAGCCCUUCUGAUGUGGAUACCCUGCAUCUCACCCUCGUGCCUGCGGUGCCACUCCCACACUGAGUACUUGGCAACCCAGCAAACUUCUCUGCCAUCCAGUGGGAUGUAACUACAUCUCUACUGAGGUCUGAAACCCAGCCUCUGGGAGGGACCCUCCUUCCAACUUUGUCCUUCUUUAGGUACUCUCCCUCAGCCCGUGUCUGGUAUUUUCACCGUAAGCAUCUUUGCCAUAGACAUCUUUCCUGCAUGUGUUUUCACUGCAGACAUUUUCACUGCAUAACUAAUUGGCCAUAAGGCAAUUUUGUUAUCAAAGAUGAAAUAAUGAAUAAUAAAAGAGGGAUAUUAAAAAGGAUAUAAUAAAACAUGAAAAAUGAAUAAUAAAAUUAAAAAGACAUUGCAAAAUACAAAAUAUUUGAAUACAUUUAAAAUAUGUGUAGAUUCAUGGCAAUAAUGAGCAAAUAACUGAUUUUAUUUUGUGGGUUGUACCUAAGCACUUGUCUGCAAAGUCUUUCAUUCACAAUAUAUAUAUUUUUUUGCUUGUUGAUUCAUUUCCUCAUUUGGCAUCCAUCACACUUUUUCUUUUUUGCUAAAACUUCUUCCUUCAUUAAGAGAGAUAUCAGUUUCCAAAUACUAGGAUGCAUAUUUGUAACUGAGCUUUGUAUUGCAUUGUGAAAAGCCUUCUACACUGUUCUUUGUUCUUGGCUCAUGUCUGUGGAUAGAUGUUCCAGAGUUCUAUGGGAAAUGCAAAGCUAAGAUUUAUUUAAUAUAAAAAUGAGAGUAUUGUGUCAAUGGAGAAAUGAAACCACACUGUCAAGCAGUUGAAACCAAAUUGUCAAACCAAACUGUUACCCAGUUAUUUUAUCUUUUAUGGCAAAAUUGCCUUACGACCAAUUAGUUAUACAGUGAAAAUGUUCACAGCAAAAAUGCUUGUGGCAAAGAUGUCUAUGGCAAAGAUACUUGCUUAUGGCAAAAGUACCCUAAGGGUUCUUUGAUGUCUUUAUAGUUACUCUCAUCAUUGCUUAAUAAUUCUUUAUAUUAAACUUCUGUUUAAAUUCUGGUGCAGUUUCUGUUUCCUGACUGAACCCAAACUAGUACAAACUGACUAUAGGAAUUGGGUGCUGAUACAAAAAGCUUCUCAUCCAUUUUUGGCAAAAGCCCACCGUCAUUAAUUUCUCCAGGAUACCCAACUCCUAAAAGUCUCAUAAGGUAGGACAGUUUGCCUUCUGCCUCCUUGACAGAUUAUAAGCUCCACAAUAAACACUCUCAUCUUUUUCUCCAAGAUACGUGUUUCUGCCCAUCAGUCCUCCUAUAAGAACAUUGGGCAUGACGGAGAAGCUCAGCAACUUGAAAAUGAAUACCUGUUUAUAGUAAUGUCAUAUUUUUAUGGAAGUUAAAUUCAAAAGUCAGGAACAAAAUAAAAAAUUGGUUGUAUUCCAAAUCAUCCUAUAAAAUAUCGUAAGUGGUUCACAAAGCAUAAAACAUGGAUUGAUUAUCCAACACUGAAGAAUAAUGUGUGUAUAUAUAUAUAUGUGUUAACCGUACAUCAUUAACAUGCAUAUAUAAUAAAAGGCCCAUAUACUAAAUAUAAUUUCAUGAUUCAUAUUUAUACAAAAGAGUAACACAUAUAUAUUAAUUUAUGUGCAAAAGUAACACACACCUUAUAUUAAAUGUGCAUAUGAUUAUUGGCAAAUCGGAGACUCAGUCCUAAGUUAUCAGCCCUCAGGUUACUUACCAAUUAGAAAGGAAAAAAUAUCACUUUACAAUGGAAAUAUCUGGCCAUUACCACUUUAACUAAGUGAUCAAGUUUAGCAUCACCAAUAGUGAAAUGACCUGACCUCAUGUUUCUCCUCGUGUGAUACAAGAGGACACAACCUUGUCUAUGUAGUACCCUUGCUAACUUGUUUAACCUGGAUUUUACCAUGAGAAAAUAAACAGACAAAUCCAGACUAUAAGACAUUCUGUUGAACAACUAACUUAGAUUCUUAAAAAAAUCAAUGUCUAGAGAAAACAAAAAGGUGGAGGGACUGUUCCAGAUUAAGAGCCUAAAGAGACAUAGCAUCAAAUGCAAUGCAUGAACUUUGUGUCCUGCUUAAAGAAAAACCUAUAUAAGACAUUUUUGGGACAUUUGGAGGAAAUUUGAAUAUGAGUGAGUUGUGGAAUUAUUAAUUUCCUUGGGUCUGAUCGUGAUGUGUGGUUAGAAGUAUGUGGGAUGUAUUACUGUGUUUACUGAUAUGAGUGAGACACUUUUGUGUGUGGUGAUGUAUGUGUAAGACUCUGUGUAGAAGAAAAUGUCCUUGUUUUUAGGAGAUACGUGAUGACAUAUUGACUAGUGAAGUAUCAUGAUACUUGAAUUUAUUUUCAAAUGGUAGAGAGAGAUUAUCAAAAGUGGCAAGUUGUUAGUUGGUGAAUCCAGGAGAUAGGCAUGCAUAAGGGUUCUUUGUACUAUUCUUUCAACGCUUUUAGAGAUUCAAAAAUUUUCGAAAUAAACAAUUGAAGAAAAUGUGCCUAUUAGGUGACUCCACUCUAUCAUAUGGGAGAAAUAAAUGUGGGAGAGCACUGAGCCGCUUGCGGAUGUACCCAAAGACCCCACCAGAACAGGAGAACUAGGGAACCAGUUCCUCAAUUUGUUUCUGUAAGAGAAGCUUCAGGAGAAGGAAAGCAGAAUAUUCUGGUUGGGGCCGGGGAUGG
RNAcentral lists this long non-coding RNA (15342 nucleotides) under Equus caballus (horse). RNAcentral's name for it is "lncRNA (ENSECAG00000052138.1)". Lineage: Eukaryota; Metazoa; Chordata; Mammalia; Perissodactyla; Equidae. The record is from RNAcentral.